RNAcentral lists this ribosomal RNA (483 nucleotides) under uncultured bacterium. RNAcentral describes it as "SSU rRNA". It matches the Rfam family "Bacterial small subunit ribosomal RNA", at positions 26 to 518 of the family's 1533-position model. The record is from RNAcentral.
AGAAUCAACGCUGGCGGCGUGCCUAACACAUGCAAGUCGAACGAGAAAGUGGGAGCAAUCCCACGAGUAAAGUGGCGCACGGGUGAGUAACACGUGACUAACCUACCCUUGAGUGGGGGAUAACCUAGGGAAACCUGGGCUAAUACCGCAUAAUACCUACGGGUCAAAGGAGCAAUUCGCUUAAGGAGGGGGUCGCGGCAGAUUAGUUAGUUGGCGGGGUAAUGGCCCACCAAGACAGUGAUCUGUAUCCGGCCUGAGAGGGCGCACGGACACACUGGAACUGAAACACGGUCCAGACUCCUACGGGAGGCAGCAGUGGGGAAUUUGCGCAAUGCGCGAAAGCGUGACGCAGCAACGCCGCGUGGGGGAAGACGGCCUUCGGGUUGUAAACCCGUUUCACGUUGGACGAAGCUCCGUCGGUGAUAGCCGGCUGGAGUGACGGUACCUUCAGAGAAGCCCGGCUAACUACGUGCCAGCAGCCGC